Molecule: ribosomal RNA, 626 nt
Filed under: uncultured bacterium
Lineage: Bacteria
Description: bacterial SSU rRNA
Rfam family: Bacterial small subunit ribosomal RNA
Source: RNAcentral
CAGUCGACGGGAUUUAGUAAACAGAAACCUCGGUGGAAGAUUACUAAUGAGAGUGGCGAACGGGUGAGUAACGCGUGAGCAACCUGCCUAUGACAGUGGGAUAGCCUCGGGAAACCGGGAUUAAUACCGCAUAAAAUCGUAGAAGCACAUGUUUCAACGGUCAAAGAUUUAUCGGUCAUAGAUGGGCUCGCGUCUGAUUAGCUAGUUGGUGAGAUAACAGCCCACCAAGGCGACGAUCAGUAGCCGGUCUGAGAGGAUGAACGGCCACAUUGGAACUGAGACACGGUCCAAACUCCUACGGGAGGCAGCAGUGGGGAAUAUUGCACAAUGGGGGAAACCCUGAUGCAGCGACGCCGCGUGAACGAAGAAGGUAUUCGUAUCGUAAAGUUCUGUCCUAUGGGAAGAUAAUGACAGUACCAUAGAAGAAAGCUCCGGCUAAAUACGUGCCAGCAGCCGCGGUAAUACGUAUGGAGCGAGCGUUGUCCGGAAUUAUUGGGCGUAAAGGGUACGCAGGCGGUUUAAUAAGUCGAAUGUUAAAGAUCGGGGCUCAACCCCGUAAAGCAUUGGAAACUGAUAAACUUGAGUAGUGGAGAGGAAAGUGGAAUUCCUAGUGUAGUGGUGAAAUA